Molecule: ribosomal RNA, 464 nt
Filed under: uncultured bacterium
Lineage: Bacteria
Description: partial 16S ribosomal RNA
Rfam family: Bacterial small subunit ribosomal RNA
Source: RNAcentral
GACGAACGCUGGCGGCGUGCUUAACACAUGCAAGUCGAACGGUAAGGCCCCAGCUUGCUGGGGUACACGAGUGGCGAACGGGUGAGUAACACGUGGGUGACCUGCCCCGCACUUCGGGAUAAGCCUGGGAAACUGGGUCUAAUACCGGAUAGGACCGCACCGUGAGGGUGUGGUGGAAAGUUUUUCGGUGUGGGAUGGGCCCGCGGCCUAUCAGCUUGUUGGUGGGGUAAUGGCCUACCAAGGCGGCGGCGGGUAGCCGGCCUGAGAGGGUGGACGGCCACAUUGGGACUGAGACACGGCCCAGACUCCUACGGGAGGCAGCAGUGGGGAAUAUUGCACAAUGGGCGGAAGCCUGAUGCAGCGACGCCGCGUGGGGGAUGACGGCCUUCGGGUUGUAAACUCCUUUCACCAUCGACGAAGGUUUUCUGACGGUAGAUGGAGAAGAAGCACCGGCUAACUACGUG